This is a non-coding RNA of Trichonephila inaurata madagascariensis, 73 nucleotides long. NCBI's taxonomy places the organism in Eukaryota, Metazoa, Arthropoda, Arachnida, Araneae, Nephilidae. The record is from the annotation of a GenBank genome assembly.
GUCCCUGUUGGGCAAUGGGUAGCGCGUUAGACUUCUUAUCCAAAGGUCGUGGGUUCGAAUCCCACCUGGGAUG